Molecule: long non-coding RNA, 265 nt
Filed under: Mus musculus (house mouse)
Lineage: Eukaryota; Metazoa; Chordata; Mammalia; Rodentia; Muridae
Description: predicted gene, 33228
Source: RNAcentral
AUGUGAAGGCAAAGACCGCAGGACUGGAAUUCUUGAAGAAAGUCAGCCUCCUCAUGGUAUGCUCCCAUGACAUCUAUAUCUGCUUCCCAAGCCUUAGGGAGGAAGUCCUUCCACAGCCAGAAAGGGGACAACAGUUAUGAUGGAAUGGCAUGGCUGCAGUAAUAGACUAAGAGAAGCAGAACCACACAAAUAUAGACCUUGAUUUAGGACAGUUAUGCUGCUGUCUUGCAGUGAGAAAGCAUUUAUUAAAUGCAUGGAAAGCAAA